This 75-nucleotide transfer RNA is filed under the name Candidatus Saccharimonadota bacterium. RNAcentral's name for it is "tRNA-Gln". It matches the Rfam family "tRNA". Rfam says of the family: Transfer RNA (tRNA) molecules are approximately 80 nucleotides in length. Their secondary structure includes four short double-helical elements and three loops (D, anti-codon, and T loops). Further hydrogen bonds mediate the characteristic L-shaped molecular structure. tRNAs have two regions of fundamental functional importance: the anti-codon, which is responsible for specific mRNA codon recognition, and the 3' end, to which the tRNAs corresponding amino acid is attached (by aminoacyl-tRNA synthetases). tRNAs cope with the degeneracy of the genetic code in two manners: having more than one tRNA (with a specific anti-codon) for a particular amino acid; and 'wobble' base-pairing, i.e. permitting non-standard base-pairing at the 3rd anti-codon position. The record is from RNAcentral. RNAcentral also lists the same sequence under 2 other names. Lineage: Bacteria; Candidatus Saccharimonadota.
UGGGAUGUCGCCAAGUGGUAAGGCAUCAGGUUUUGGUCCUGACAUUCGGGGGUUCGAAUCCCUCCAUCCCAACCA